Molecule: long non-coding RNA, 960 nt
Filed under: Homo sapiens (human)
Lineage: Eukaryota; Metazoa; Chordata; Mammalia; Primates; Hominidae
Description: HSALNT0312465
Source: RNAcentral
AGGCCAGAAGGGGCUGCCAACAUCUGCUUCCCAUUACCCGGGGGAGGGACUUCACCACCAGCCGCUGGUAACAGGAGACCCUGGCCUCUGAUUUAUGGCCCAUUUGGAAGGAGGCCUCGGAGCAAUUACUUGUUGGAUUGAGCCAGGCGAGGGGCUAGAGCUUUGCAAAGCGGAAAGCAGCCCCUGGCUGGCAGCGCUUUCUCCCCAGGAAGACAGGGACUAUCCACUCAGGAUCCAACAUAUCAGAGGAGGACUCCAGGAAGUCAUUCUACCACCUCUGCCUCCCUGCUGACGAAUCCGAUAUUUGGUUGAACAUUCCUACUUCAAAAUUCCAAAAUCUGAAGCAGUCCAAAAUCUGAAACUUUUGGGGCACUGACAUGAAGCCACAAAUAGAAAAUUCCACAUGUCUGGCAGUGUGUCUCACAGCUACCAGAAGCUUGAAGUGGUGCUGAACAUGCAUAAUGUGCUGAGACGUCUGCAGCAACUGUCCUUCCAUAGACUCCUUGGAUUUCGUGGUCCCAGGCUGAGAAAGCUUGGGGUAGAGAAAUAGGGCUGAGGGCAAAUCGCUGGCUGCAGCCGUGCUGUGGAAGCAAUGUGCCAGAAACCCUGACAAUGAACCGCUGUCUCUGACUAAUUGUUCUAGUGGAGAUGUCUCCUGUUUGACUUGAUUUUAAACUGUGGAGCACGUCAAGAGAAAGCUCACUGAUCUGCCGAGGGUUUGUGCUUUUCUGUCUUCAUGCAUCUGUUGUGGGUGAAGAGAGCAAAGAUUCUUCAUUCAAUCAAAGGCCCCCUUUGGAGAUGCUGAGAAGGAAAUUUCCUUUGGAAAUUCCCAAAGGAAUUGGGCUGUCUCUCUCUCUUUCUCUGGUUGCAUUUCACCAGCUAAGGAGUUGCAUUGGCUUCUGCUCUCCUCUCUUGCUCACCUACAUUGUGAGGUAAGAUCUGAGUUGCAGGUUUGCUUUG